GACGAACGCUGGCGGCGUGCUUAACACAUGCAAGUCGAACGGUGAAGCGCUUGCCUUUUUGGUGGGUGUGGAUGAGUGGCGAACGGGUGAGUAACACGUGAGUAACCUGCCCUCUUCUUCUGGAUAACCUCAUGAAAGUGGGGCUAAUACGGGGUAUUCCGGGUCUGUCACAUGGCGGGUUUGGGAAAGAUUGCGCCUUUGGGUGUUUUCGGUGGGGGAUGGGCUCGCGGCCUAUCAGCUUGUUGGUGGGGUGAUGGCCUACCAAGGCGGUGACGGGUAGCCGGCCUGAGAGGGUGGACGGCCACACGGGGACUGAGACACGGCCCAGACUCCGGCGGGAGGCAGCAGUGGGGAAUAUUGCACAAUGGGCGCAAGCCUGAUGCAGCGACGCCGCGUGAGGGAUGGAGGCCUUCGGGUGGUGAACCUCUUUCGCCAGUGAAGCAGGCCUGCUCCUGUGUGGGUGGGUUGACGGUAGCUGGAUAAGAAGCGCCGGCUAACUACGUG
Molecule: ribosomal RNA, 504 nt
Filed under: uncultured bacterium
Lineage: Bacteria
Description: partial 16S ribosomal RNA
Rfam family: Bacterial small subunit ribosomal RNA
Source: RNAcentral